ACUGAUGUAUUCAAUGAUUUUAUAGCCUUGGCCAACAGGCUUGGGUAAUAUUUGAAAUUUCAUCAUGAUGGGGAUAGAUAAUUAUAAUUGUUGGUCUUCAAUAAAGAAUUCCUCGUAAGCGCGAGUCAUCAGCUCGCGUUGACUGCGUCCCUGCCCCUUGUACAUACCGCCUGUCGCUCCUACUAAUUGAAUGAUACAGUGAAAUAUUUGGAUCGCGGGGAUGUGGGUGGUUCACUGCCUGCGACGUCGUGAGAAGUCGAUUGAACCUUAUCAUUUAGAGGAAGGAGAAUUCAUAACAAGGUUUUCGUAGGUGAACCUGUGGAAGGAUCAUUGUCGAAACCUGCAUAGUAGAAUGACCCGUGAACGUGUUUAACAACUUGGGAAUCCGCACCAGCGGGGUGCUACGACACUCAGCACGAGCACCUCCCCCUCGUCCCCAGCGCGGAAAGUGCCAAGGAAUACUUCAAUCAAUAGCUUACCCCUCGCGCCCCAUCCGAGACGUGCGUCGGGGGGACCUAUGCUCCUUUUGUAAAUAAAAAUGACUCUCGACAAUAGAUAUCUCGUCUCUCGCAUCGAUGAAGAACGUAGGAAAAUAUGAUACUUGGUGUGAAUUGCAGGAUCCCAUGAACCAUAGAGUAUUUGAACGCAGGUUGCGCCCGAAGCUAUUAGGUCGAGGGCAUGUCUUCUUGGGCAUCACACAUCGCAUUGCCCCCUCGCAUCAUGCCUCAAUCAUGGGGUGCACUGUUGUUGUGGGGCGGAUACUGGCCUCUCGUGCACCUCGAGCUCGCAGCUAGCCUAAAUGCGAGUCCACGUCGACAAACGUCGCGGAAAGUGGUAGUUGUAUCUCAACUCUCAUUAUUGUCGCGACUAUAGCCCAUCGCGUGUCUAGACUCCAGGACCCUUUCGCGCUUCGGCACUCCGACCGCGACCCCAGGUCACGUGGGAUUACCCAAAAUAGCCUAGCAUUAGAAUCAGGCGGCUCUGUCAUCCGAAUUAUAGUUUGGAGAAGCGUCCUCAGCGGUGGAGCAGGCCCAACUCCCCUGGAAGUGGGCGCUAGAGAGGGUGAGAGCCCCAUUAUGCCCGGACCCUGUCGCACCACGGGGCACUAUGUACGUGUUGGGUUGUUUUGGAAUGUAGCCCAAAUCGAGCGGUGAAUUCCGUCUAAGGCUAAAUACGAGCGACAGACCGAUAGCGAAUAAUUACCACAAGGGAAAGAUGAAAAGGACUUUGAAAAGAGAGUCAAAGAAUGAUUGAAAUUAUCGGGAGGGAAGUUGAUGGAGGCCGGUGAUGCACCCCGGUCGGAUGUGGAAUGGCGAUGAGUCGGUCCGAUGAUCGACUCAAGGCAUAGACCAGCAUAGAUUGGGGGGACGCCCAAGGCCCGGUCUCCCGAUAUGCUCGUUAAAUGCCGUCUCCUCAAUUGUGGAAGGCAGCGCACACCUCCGACAUGCUUUGGCAUCUGCGCGCUACGGACGCUGGCCUGUGGGCUCCCUAUUUAACCCAUCUUGAAAACCAGUCCCAGUCCCAAACCCAUCGGCCGUUGGUGGACUACUCGAGCUGCUCCUGUAGCGAGAGCAGGUCGCUGCGUGUCGGUUGGGUGACGGACUAGGAACGGUUCCUUCGGAGGCCUUCCCCGUGCGUCGAAUAGCCAACUCAGAACUGGAACGGACAAGGGGAAUCCGACUAUUUAAUUAAAACAAAGCAUUACGAUAGUCCCAACGGAUGUUCACGCAUUGUGAUUUCUGCCCAUUGCUCUGAAUGUCAAAGUGAAGAAAUUUAACCAAGCAUGGAUAAAUGGCGGGAGUAACUAUGACUUUCUUAUUGUAGUCAAAUACCUCGUCAUCUAAUUAGCGACGCGCAUGUAUGGAUUAAUGAGAUUCCCACUAUCCUUGUCUACUAUCCAACGAAACCACAACCAAGGGAACGGGCUUGGCAGAAUCAGCGGGGAAAGAAGACCCUCUUGAGCUUGACUCUACUCCGACUUUAUGAAAUAACUUGAGAGGUGUAGUAUAAGUGGGAGUCGAAAGGUAAAAGUGAAAUACCACUACUUUUAAUGUUAUUUACUUAUUUCGUGAAUCGGAAGUGGGGCACUGCCCCUCUUUUUAGACCCAAGGCUCGCUCUGCAGGCCGAUCCGAGAUGAAGACAUUGUCAGGUAGGGAUUUUGGCUUGGGCGGCAUAUUUGUUAAAAGAUAAUGCAGGUGUCCUAUGAUGAGCUUAACGAGAACAGAAAUAUUGUGUGGAAUAGAAUGGUAAAAGCUUGUUUGAUUCUGAUUUCCAGUAUGAAUACGAACCACGAAAGUGUGGCCCAACGAUCCUUUAGACCUUUGGAAUUUGAAGCUAGAAGUGUCGGAAAAGUGUCACCACAGGGAUAACUAGCUUGUUGCAUCCAAGCGUUCAUAGAACCAUUGCUUUUUCAUCCUUCGAUGUCGGCUAUUCCUAUCAUUGUGAAGCAGAAUUCACCAAGUAUUGGACUGUUCACCCACCAAUAGGGAACGUGAGCUGGGUUUAGACCAUCUUGAGACAGGUUAGUUUUACCCCACUUAUGACAGUGUUGCAGUAGUAAUUCAACCUAGUACGAGAGGAAACAUUGAUUCACACAAUUUUUCAUCGCACUUGGUUGAAAAGCCAGUGGCGCAAAGCUACCGUGUGCUGGAUUAUGACUAAACGUCUCUAAGUCAGAAUCCAGGCUAGAAGCGACGCAUGCGCCCGCUGUCUACUUUCUGAUCCGUAGUAGGGGCCUCGGCCCCCAAGGACAUGUAUCAUUUACUAAGACACCGCGGAGGAAGAGUCUCGGUGGCCGUCUUGAAGUGUAAUUUCCAUCAAGCGGUGGGUAGAAUCCUUUGCGGAUGACUUAAAUAUACGAUGGGUUGUUGUAAGUGAAGAGUGGCCUUGCUGCCACGAUCCACUGAGAUUCAUCUCUUUGUCACUUUAAUUCAUCCCUCCCCAUCCA
This 2948-nucleotide ribosomal RNA is filed under the name Capsicum annuum. RNAcentral's name for it is "eukaryotic LSU rRNA". The stretch from base 926 to 2935 matches the Rfam family "Eukaryotic large subunit ribosomal RNA". Lineage: Eukaryota; Viridiplantae; Streptophyta; Magnoliopsida; Solanales; Solanaceae. The record is from RNAcentral.